GACCUACGGGGGGCAGCAGUAGGGAAUCUUCCACAAUGGGCGAAAGCCUGAUGGAGCAACGCCGCGUGGGUGAAGAAGGUCUUCGGAUCGUAAAACCCUGUUGUUAGAGAAGAAAGUGCGUGAGAGUAACUGUUCACGUUUCGACGGUAUCUAACCAGAAAGCCACGGCUAACUACGUGCCAGCAGCCGCGGUAAUACGUAGGUGGCAAGCGUUAUCCGGGUUUAUUGGGCGUAAAGAGAGCGCAGGCGGGCUUUUAAGUCUUAUGGGAAA
This 271-nucleotide ribosomal RNA is filed under the name uncultured bacterium. Its description in RNAcentral is "partial 16S ribosomal RNA". It matches the Rfam family "Bacterial small subunit ribosomal RNA", at positions 334 to 599 of the family's 1533-position model. The record is from RNAcentral.